UUUUUUCUUUUUUCUUUUAGAAAGUCUAUGUCUCAAAAAAGUUUUUAACUAUUCGUCUCAAGAUGAAUUUAACCAACGAUGCGAGCGAACACAAAAAAAAACGAUGCGAGCGAGCGUGGCCGCCUCUCGUCUUUCCGAUGAUAGGAAGCUGUUUCGUGUUCUCCCAACUAUACAGAGUGGAAUGCAAUCAUCUUUGAACUUUUCUCAAAGCAACAGUUGGAUUGGCUCUACGUGGAGAAAUUCUGGGAAUCUUUAGGAUUUUGUUGCAGUAUAAGAAAUAAAAGCUGAUUCAAGAAGAAUAUACGAGAGAUCGGAGAAAAUUUUGGACAUAUAUGCUCUACAUUAUACUUGGCGAAGGUUGAAGACGAUGGAUGACAAAAGUGAUGCAAAACGUGUGACAAUUAGAAAGUGAAAUAAUUAUUUACUUUAUAGUAGUCCUUAACAAUUAGGGACAUUUUAACACAUUCUUAGCAACAGAGCCGUUUAAAAUCUACACCAAAAAUUAGGACCUUGAUCUUUGAUGCUGAAAAUCUACACCAUUUAAGUGGUGAAUG
Long non-coding RNA from Brassica oleracea var. oleracea, 554 nucleotides. RefSeq lists it as uncharacterized. NCBI's taxonomy places the organism in Eukaryota, Viridiplantae, Streptophyta, Magnoliopsida, Brassicales, Brassicaceae. The record is from RefSeq and is a predicted model, not a curated record. The transcript has 3 exons.